UCUCCGUUGGUGAACCAGCGGAGGGAUCAUUACUGGAAUCGCAAGAUCCCACAACCCCUGUGAACUUAACUAUAAGCACGUUGCUUCGGCGGGUGUCUCGGAGGGGGUUCUCCCUCCCCGAGACGCUAAACCCGCCGGCAGCCUACUAUACUCUGUCUCUUUGCGUUGGCAUCUCGAGUACAAUCAAACAAGUUAAAACUUUCAACAACGGAUCUCUUGGUUCUG
Molecule: unclassified non-coding RNA, 225 nt
Filed under: plant metagenome
Description: partial contains small subunit ribosomal RNA, internal transcribed spacer 1, and 5.8S ribosomal RNA
Source: RNAcentral